UCAUGUGUUACAUGAUAUGGCCUCAAAUCACCCCUUAUCCUCAUCUCUCCAUCUGCACUCUUUCCUGGCCUCACCUGCCCUCCCCCCACACCCCUGUCCUCCCCAUAAGCACCUCAGGAAAUGUUCCCAACUUUAGCCUUUUGCCUAGAAUGUCCCCCAGAUAUGCACAUGGACACUGUCUUAGUAAGUGUUUCUGUGGCUGUGGUGAAACACCAUGACAAAAAGCGACCCAGGGAGAAAAGGAUCUAUUUUCCUUAUACUUCCCAAUCACUAUCUGGUGACUGAAGGAAGUUACAACAGGAACCUGGAGGCAGGAGCCAAGGCAGGCAGGGUUCAUGGCCACUGAGGCAGAUGAUCAGAGUGAGCCUCGGUGUGCAACUGUAGCAUUUCGUUAGGUAUCCAGCAUUUAGCCUGGAUACAAAGUUGGAAUGGGGAGAGUUUUGGCUGUGUUAGAAUGGGGCAUUUCAUAGGGGUGACCUUGAAGGGUACAGGGAGGGCUCCAGAUGGAUUAACUGGUGUCUUAUAUCCCCUCCUCACACCAAGUCUUCGAGGACAGCCAGUUUGGGGCUGAGCUUCUUUGACCGAUUCUUCCAGCAAUCCCUAAAAAUCUAACUCCCGUGAACCCUAGCAGCCUCCUCUUCUUCCUCUCCCCUGCUGCUGUCUGGUGAAGACCAUUUCCUUCCAUCAGUGUGGCAUGAGUGCCUCAGCACCAUGACAUAUGAGGUUGGUGUGUCCAUAUGUUUGUUUUAGCUAUUUUAUUGGGUCUUUUAUUUACUACCCUUCUGAUCCUUAUUCCACCUUAAUCCCAACACACCCCCCCCCACAUGAGGUGAGAGAGAAAGAAAGUUAUCGGGGGAAAGGGGUGCACAGACCUUUUUAAACUACUUCCUGCUGAUUGGGGACAUCAGGUUCCUAGGGGCAAGUCCAAUCUUAGGCAUUAGGGCAUCUGGCCAUCCAGCAGUAGCAAACCAGCAAUCCAGCAAAGGCAGCAGCAGGGGGAGCAGCAGUCAUCACAGGCCCUGUCAGGGCUCUCCCAUUUAUACUCUCUCCAGAGUCUCCAGAAUUAACUAUCUGCAGCAGGCAAAGAUCACACCCCUGCUAGUGCAUGAGACAAAUCAUAAUCACCUGCUGUGAAUCAGCCUCUUAUCCCAAACCUGAGAUUAAAACACAAACAUAUUCACAUAAAGUAACUGGGUUUUUAAAGAAACCAGAACUCUCACUACACUGGCUGUCAUAGGCCCUUGCUCAUAGGCCAACCGGGUAGGCUGUGGCUUGCUGCUGAGUUAGUUCUAUGGAGCACAGACUUAGAGCCACAGUGCCUCUGCUACCUGUCUCAUGGCUUUGCUGUUAGCUUUGUGGUCUCAGAAAAGUUACGUGGGCCACCUGACCUCAGUUUACUUCCUUCAGCAAGUGGGACUGAUAAGAGUGCCUACUGUUGUGGGAAAUACAUGAAUCUUAGUUAAAAUGUGCUCAGAGUAUGGCUUAGCCUAUAGUAGGUAUGCCAUGUGUUUGCCUCUAUUACCAUUCUCAUUUUUAUUGUUCAUUGUUACUCUGUAGCCACUACAAUAAAGGGACUUAGGUGUACUAGGAUCACCAAAUAAGAUACCUAGGAAGGGCUCUUGGAAGAGGACAAUGAACUGAAUCUCUAAGGAUGACUAGUGUAUAUCCUAGCAAAGAAGAUAUAGAAACUGUUGCAAGAAAAUAUGGUAGAAGCCAUAACCAAGAAUUGGCAGAAGAAGGUGAGCUACCACACAGGCCCUGACAGUGUUGUAGUGUCCCAUUCCAGGUAGGGGGCAGUGGGGGUAGCAGAGAUGUCUCACAGUCAGAAUGUGGCUAGUCUUAAUCAGCUCAGCACCUCUUGACCUGGUUAGCCCAGAUCCCACUCCCCUCCCCAACUCUGGACUCCGCCUGGCCUUGAAACCCAGGUACCUACCAAAUGUUCUUUCACUGUGUUGUCCACAAUAUGGAGAGGAAAGCACGUGGCUUGAGCUGACCAAUCAUAAGUUCCUCGGGAUUUCUGCCAGACGGCAGCAGAAUGCAGCUAUUCCCUUAUGGUGAUUCUGGGAAGAGUGAUUCUGGGCCAUGGGAGGCUUUUGCCCUUGUAUUAGGCCCGGCCCUUGAGUUCCCAAGAGUCCUGAGAUCAUCCGUUCCAGGAAAGUCCCUGUGUCCUUUCCUUCUGUGCUAUGAAUGUUCCCAAUAUCCUGCCCACAUACCUUUAUUUAUUU
RNAcentral lists this long non-coding RNA (2225 nucleotides) under Mus musculus (house mouse). RNAcentral describes it as "long non-coding RNA chr1:167040721-167042946". The record is from RNAcentral. Lineage: Eukaryota; Metazoa; Chordata; Mammalia; Rodentia; Muridae.